GACGAACGCUGGCGGCAUGCCUAAUACAUGCAAGUCGAACGAACCAUCCUGAAGAUUGAAGCUUGCUUCAUGAUUCAGACCUUGGUGAGUGGCGGACGGGUGAGUAACACGUGGGUAACCUGCCCAAAAGUGGGGGAUAACAUUUGGAAACAAGUGCUAAUACCGCAUAACAACUACUUUCACAUGAUCGUAGCUUGAAAGAUGGCUCUGCUAUCGCUUUUGGAUGGACCCGCGGCGUAUUAGCUAGUUGGUGAGGUAAUAGCUCACCAAGGCAAUGAUACGUAGCCGACCUGAGAGGGUAAUCGGCCACAUUGGGACUGAGACACGGCCCAAACUCCUACGGGAGGCAGCAGUAGGGAAUCUUCCACAAUGGGCGAAAGCCUGAUGGAGCAAUGCCGCGUGAGUGAAGAAGGUUUUCGGAUCGUAAAACUCUGUUGUUGAAGAAGAACAUGCGUGAGAGUAACUGUUCACGUACUGACG
This 480-nucleotide ribosomal RNA is filed under the name uncultured bacterium. Its description in RNAcentral is "bacterial SSU rRNA". It matches the Rfam family "Bacterial small subunit ribosomal RNA", at positions 28 to 474 of the family's 1533-position model. The record is from RNAcentral.